AGACGGAGGGGGCUAGUGUUAUUCGGAAUGACUGGGCGUAAAGGGCACGUAGGCGGUGAAUUAAGUUGAAGGUGAAAUCCCAAAGCUUAACUUUGGAACUGUUUUCAAAACUGAUUCACUGGAGUUCGAUAGGGGAUAGUGGAAUUUCUAGUGUAGAAAUAAAAUUCAUAAAUAUUAGAAGGAACACCAGUGGCGAAGGCGACUAUCUGGAUCGAUACUGACGCUGAGGUGCGAAAGCAUGGGGAGCAAACAGGAUUAGAAACCCUAGUAGUCC
This 274-nucleotide ribosomal RNA is filed under the name uncultured bacterium. RNAcentral's name for it is "partial 16S ribosomal RNA". It matches the Rfam family "Bacterial small subunit ribosomal RNA", at positions 523 to 796 of the family's 1533-position model. The record is from RNAcentral.